UGGGGAAUAUUGCACAAUGGAGGGAACUCUGAUGCAGCGACGCCGCAUGAACGAAGAAGGCUUUCGAGUCGUAAAGUUCUUUUAUAUGGGAAGAUAAUGACGGUACCAUAAGAAAAAGCCCCGGCUAACUACGUGCCAGCAGCCGCGGUAAUACGUAGGGGGCUAGCGUUGUCCGGAAUCACUGGGCGUAAAGGGUUCGCAGGCGGAAAUGCAAGUCAGGUGUAAAAGGCAGUAGCUUAACUACUGUAAGCAUUUGAAACUGCAUAUCUUGAGAAGAGUAGAGGUAAGUGGAAUUUUUAGUGUAGCGGUGAAAUGCGUAGAUAUUAAAAAGAAUACCGGUGGCGAAGGCGACUUACUGGGCUCAUUCUGACGCUGAGGAACGAAAGCGUGGGUAGCAAACGGG
This 403-nucleotide ribosomal RNA is filed under the name bacterium. Its description in RNAcentral is "partial 16S ribosomal RNA". It matches the Rfam family "Bacterial small subunit ribosomal RNA", at positions 355 to 776 of the family's 1533-position model. The record is from RNAcentral.